RNAcentral lists this ribosomal RNA (444 nucleotides) under uncultured bacterium. Its description in RNAcentral is "partial 16S ribosomal RNA". It matches the Rfam family "Bacterial small subunit ribosomal RNA", at positions 339 to 795 of the family's 1533-position model. The record is from RNAcentral.
CUACGGGCGGCUGCAGUGGGGAAUAUUGCACAAUGGGCGCAAGCCUGAUGCAGCAACGCCGCGUGAGGGACGACGGCCUUCGGGUUGUAAACCUCUUUUAGCAGGGAAGAAGCGAAAGUGACGGUACCUGCAGAAAAAGCACCGGCUAACUACGUGCCAGCAGCCGCGGUAAUACGUAGGGUGCAAGCGUUGUUCGGAAGUAUUGGGCGUAAAGAGCUCGUAGGCGGUUUGUCGCGUCUGCUGUGAAAAUCCGAGGCUCAACCUCGGACCUGCAGUGGGUACGGGCAAACUAGAGUGCGGUAGGGGAGAUUGGAAUUCCUGGUGUAGCGGUGGAAUGCGCAGAUAUCAGGAGGAACACCAAUGGCGAAGGCAGAUCUCUGGGCCGUAACUGACGCUGAGGAGCGAAAGCGUGGGGAGCGAACAGGAUUAGAUACCCUGGUAGUC